UUGGCCCUGGCUCCUUCGUCACUCCUCUGUGACAGCAGGGAGCCAAGUCAGGCCAGAGGUGUGCGUGUGGGACCACUUUGGAAUCCUUCCUCCAAACACCAUUUGGUGGCUCCCUGUCACUGCCAGAGGGUGUAUUCGGUGUCCAGCCUCCCCGGCUGGGGAGAGGCAGAGAAACCCACGCAUGCUCCCUGUGUCGUCACUCCCAGUGGGAGACACAGCAUCGCAGGAGAAGCAGCAAGAGGAUGGCGUGAGUGCCCUCUCAAGGGGGGGACCCGAUGACCCUCCAGGAUGAGAGACACCAGGAGGAGCUCAGAAAGGCUCCAGAAUUACUAAGGAGCUAAAAUUGCCUUCUUGAUAUCAUCUCAUGCUGACUGGUUACUGGGACCACACUGGAAGAAGAUGCUGGGAUGGGAAUCCCCUGAGAAAGAAUGGUCAUUGUCACAGAAAACAGUGAAGGAAGUUUCUUCCUCCCACCAAGCCAACAAUGGGUCUGAACUCCUAUGAGACUCAUAUUCAAACCAGGACUGAGAAGCAACCAUUUUGCCAUGUCCACAGGAAGCUUGCCUUGUGACACAGGAGACAGACCACUCGGGUUGAUGGUUUGGAGUCUGAAGACUGUGCCAUUUGAUGGCGGGGUGUCCCUUCUCUGGUCACUUAGCCUGAAGCUUGGAGUCCUCCUUUGAAUGUGGAGAUAUUAAUAUUUGCCCUCUCAGGGUUGACGUGGGGAUUAAGUGAGAAAUAAAGGUGAUAACACGUUGUGAACUGUAAA
Long non-coding RNA from Canis lupus familiaris (dog), 769 nucleotides. RefSeq lists it as uncharacterized. The transcript has 2 exons. The record is from RefSeq and is a predicted model, not a curated record. NCBI's taxonomy places the organism in Eukaryota, Metazoa, Chordata, Mammalia, Carnivora, Canidae.